UGGGGAAUAUUGGGCAAUGCCCGCAAGGGUGACCCAGCAACGCCGCGUGGAGGAUGAAUGUCGUAAGAUUGUAAACUCCUGUUAGAGGGGAAGAAUAGUACCGGUUGGACCGGUAUAUGACUGUACCCUCAGAGAAAGCCCCGGCUAACUACGUGCCAGCAGCCGCGGUAAUACGUAGGGGGCAAGCGUUGUCCGGAUUUACUGGGUGUAAAGGGCGCGCAGGCGGGAUAAAAAGUCAGUGGUGAAAUCCUACAGCUUAACUGUAGAACUGCCUUUGAUACUUUUAUUCUUGAGUUCGGGAGAGAGAGACGGAAUUCCAGGUGUAGUGGUGAAAUACGUAGAUAUCUGGAAGAACACCAGUUGCGAAGGCGGUCUCUUGGUCCGACACUGACGCUGAGGCGCGAAAGCGUGGGGAGCAAAC
RNAcentral lists this ribosomal RNA (421 nucleotides) under uncultured bacterium. Its description in RNAcentral is "bacterial SSU rRNA". It matches the Rfam family "Bacterial small subunit ribosomal RNA", at positions 355 to 773 of the family's 1533-position model. The record is from RNAcentral.